GGAGGAGCGGGGACGCCGGCGGGAGCAGUGGGUGCGGCGGCGGGGAGGGCGGAGGGUGCGGCAGCGUCGAGGAAUGGAACAGGAGAAGCAGAAACGGAUCGAGACGGGUGGGUGCGGAGGGGUGUAGGGGGAAGGGGUGAGGGGGUCACGGACAAGUCAUAAAGGAGGGUAGGGGGUGUCCAUGGUACACUUUAGUCCCCCGUAAGCAACUCCUUAGGGACUAAAGGGCUAAACUUUAGGGACUAAAGUUUAGUCCCUAUAAGCAAGCCUGUUUGGCAUUUUAGGGACUAAAAAUGACUAAACUAUAGUCCCUGAAGUUUAGCAAGGCAAAACUAAACAGGACCUAAAUAUAUAUAGGUAAUUACAGAACCAAUUGCAUAAAUGAAGGCUAAUUCGCGAGACAAAUCUAUUAAGCCUAAUUAAUCCAAUUUGAUUAAUUAGGCUUAAUAGAUUCAUCUCGUGAAUUAGCCAUGACUUAUACAAUUAGUUUUAUAAUUAGUUCACGUUUAAUCCUUCUAAUUGGUAUCCAAACAUCCGAUGUGACCCAAACUAAAAAUUAGUCCAUGGAUCCAAACACCACCUUAGUUGUCUAGAAAUCAAGGCCCUAAGCAAAUCCCUACCGUUGAUGAUACCUUUGUGGAAAGUGUGGUCUGAUGGCGUCACUUAUCUAACAUUUAUUUGGCGACAAAAAGGAUUGAGAGGUCAAUCUUCUAUAAUCAAUCUCUGUUUGGUUUGCCCUUGCUUAUCUUUAGGGACUAAACUUCCCUCCAGUCAGGGACUAAAGUUUAGUCCCCCUGUUUGGUUCUAGUGACUAAAGGGCAUUAAAUGAGUUGAACGAUGACCAACUUACCCCUAAUCAUUGCUGCGCCUGCCUUUUUCCUUCUCUGCCUUCCCACGCAGAUACGCACAGCACACGCGUGAGCAGCGGCGUGGGGGUACGGAGGCAGCACAGGGGUACGAUGGUGACCCGACAAACGGUGGCGCAGGGGUAGCAUGGCGGGGGCCAGCAACAGGGCGGGUGUCGGGAGGGCGGGAGUGGCUGGCGGGCAGCCGGGAGCGGCGGGGACCGGUGGCGGGGCGGGUGGCCGGGAGGCGGCGGGGCGGGUGCUGUAACACCCAUUGUUAUUAAAAGCCUAAGAAAGUAAUUUAGAGGUUAAUGAUGAAAUUUAAAUGCAACGGAGGUAUUAUGGACCAAAGUCACAUUUGACCAAAGAUUCAAAUUCAAGAUUUAAAAAUUCAAAGGACUCCCACAACCAAGAGUUGGGCGACAACUUGAUAAAUGGAAUCUUUAAUCUAUGGUUAACCAUUCCAGAAGGUCUUGACCCAAGAAACAUGAAUUUAAAUUCCCGAAUUAGAACUCAAAGAGGGGAACAAGUUACUAUCGCGCUAUCUGCCGAGAACUGAAGGGCAGAGCACCCGGGGUGUUAAAAACACUCAAGAAUGGCCAAGAACAGGAUAUGACAAAGAUUUGAGAGUUAAUGAGCUUUUAUGGCCAAAGUCAACUUUUGGUCAAAUUUUAGCCAAAAAUACCAAAUAAGAGCUUCAAUUUCAGAAAAAGUUGACAAAUGCAUGAAUUUGGACCUUAUGGACAUUUGGAACUUAAAGAGGCCAUUUGAGAAAUAAAUGGACCUUAAAUUGUCCAAAAAUCAGAAAUGGAGGAUGUUACUGUUCACUAACUGGAUAUAGGCAUAAAUGCCUUUGAAAAACAGUACUAAAUGGAAUGAACUUUGAUUCAAGAGAUUUUGGAGAAAUGCUAUAUGAGCCUUUAGUUUUAUGGGGAAAAUGGAACUUUCAUGUCAAGCUUAGCAUGAUCUCCAAGUUUGGCAUGAAACAAAUGGCAUUUGAAGUGUUAAAUGGAAAUUCAAAGUUAAAUGGGGGAUUUUGGUACUUCUAUCGAGAUUGAAGCCAUUCAGUGCAAUUUCAAUUCAGUGAAAAGCAAGAAUUGGCAGCCAGCUUCAGGACCAACUUUGGAAGGGAAAAAGAGAGAUUUAGCUUUUGAGAUGAAUAAUAGAAAUGUAGAGAAAUAGGUUCUCUAUAACUUCUAUAAAGGAAAUUUUGAGAGUUUAAGUGAAAACAAUGGAGUAAACACAAUCUGAACCCCUUCAGCUCAGAAAAAUUGACAAUUCUGUCAAUACUGGAGGAUGAACAGUAACAGUUGGUUUUGGAAGCAAAUUUCAAACCCUUAGAGUAAAAAUCAGAAGAAGCUCCAAAUGUAUCAAAGAUAGUCACAAAUAUUUCCUAUAACUUUGUUUAAGGGCUCUAAGCAAGCCUCUGAUUGAAUUUUAGCCACAAAAAUCGACCUGAAGAUAAUCUGUCAAAGGCUUAGCUGUUGAAAGGAGGAAAAGUAACAGUCAGGUUCAAAAGGAAAUUCCCCUCGAUUGGUUGGGAAUCUGAAGGAGGCAUAGUAAGAUGAAUUGAAAUUCAGCAAAUUUCCUACAGCUUUCAUAAAGGGACUUUUGAAAGAUCAGUUUGGAUUUUUAUCGUAAUUGGCCGUUGAAGUUUUUGACAGCAAGGUUCAAAAAGAGAAAAUUUAGUUAAGCUGAAGUUCAAUGUCCAGAAAAGUUCAGAGACGUUUAUCACGUGGAAGGAGCGAGGUUCAGCCAAAAGUGCACAUCUAUGAAAGGUAGAACUUUGGAUUUCCUCCAACUUCAAUAAAGGGAGUUUUGGAUGUGUUGUUGGCCAGAGAAACUGGAGGAUUCAAAUUUAAAAUGAAGCUCAAAGUAGGCAAGAUGAGCAGAUUUCAGCCUCAUUGCUGAAAUAAGUUCUAAGUCUGAAAAACAGUGAUGAUUAGCAGUUUUUGGCGCAAGUUUCUGAAAAAUCUAGCGUGAAAGGCAUAUGAGUUCUUGUGCAAAAUGGAACCCUCGUUAGUUGUAGAACAAAGAUAGAUAAGGGUUGAGCGGUACAACACAGGAUUGAGUAUUUAAAAUUGAGCUAAAAGAAGGGCAAAGGUUCCUGUCAUAAUACCUGACGAAACGGAAUCAAAGGAUUCAGUUACAGUUCAUUUUUGCUCAAACUUGGGGCUUAAAAAUCAGGGUCUUAGAGUGAAUAUUUAGACUUGGGACCAAUCUAUCAAAUGAAGUGCAUGGAUUCCUAUACAAGUUUGUUUAAAGGAGAUUCGAAAGUUUGGUUUAAAAAUUCGAUGAAAAAUGGGCCUGAACAUGUCGGUUGGGAGGAAGAAGAAAAGAGAAACAACAUAACAGAGGAGGAGUCGUGCCGUCGCCGGCACUCUCGUCUGCCGACCAGCGCGACGGACACGUCCGCGCCACACUACCUGCCACGGGCCGAGGUGGACGGCAUGCACGCGGUGAAAACUUGUAUAUUUACGCUCCCGCGCCUAUCGGUUUAACCCUGCCGUCUUUUUCACCACCGUCGCGAGCAGAAGCUCGAGCGAGCAGCGCCGCCGCCGGCCAACACCCACACCGCUGUUUUCCUUCGCGUUUCCACCGCCUGAAGCCUUGACAGCCCCACCGCGAUGCCCCACGCCCAACCGUUGCUCAGUUCCCCGCCGGCGAGCUCCUAAUCGCUGUCGUUUUUGUCCGCCCGCUGCCAUCACCACCAUCCUCUCGGUGAGCUCCUCUGUGCCGCCCUUUCCCUUCAAUUUCUGGGUCUUUGGAACAUAGAUAGGCCUUGUAGAGGCCGUAGGGUGCUGCCGUCAGUCGUUUUGCGCUGCCGCCGGGCCUAGAGCCGGCCGGCCACCGGCCAUGGUGCCGCCGCCCGUGGAGGGGCCGGCUCAGGCCGCCUCCAGGGGGGCCGCUGCCACCCGUGGGUGCGCUGUGGCCUGGGGAUGCCUCCCAGCCCGGCCAUGCCGCCGGGGAGGCCGCUGCCGGCGAGUCCCCACCCCAACCCGGCGUGCCCUGUCCCUGGCGUGAGGAAGAAGGAGAGCCUGCCGCUAGGGCCCCACCUGUCAGCGACUUGGGAUAGGAGAGGCCGGUUUGAAUAGGAUUUUAGGAGAGAGAGGGGGGCCGGUCAGUCGCAGAGGGUAGAUAGGGGGUGAGCGGGAAAGGUUUUUCCGGGGGGUUUGGAUAAUCAUUUUUCUUUUGCAAAUAAAUAGUUUAAAUUAUUUUAUCACCAUUUAAUUCAUUAGAAAUGGUAGAAAUGUCCAAAAAUAGUGAAAUCAAUUUUAUUAGGAUUGUUUUAUUUUCCUUUAUGCGUUAAAAUUCUUAAAUCCUAGAAAAAUAAUAAAAUUUAGGUAUUUAUUUAAUACCUUUGGAUUAAGGUAUUUAAAUAAAUGCUUAACCUUUAUUAAAUACAUAAAAUUUUGAAUAAUGCUUUCUUAUUCAUAAAUUAUUAUUAAAUCAUAGGAAUUAAGUUUUGAGAUUAGAAAAUAAUUAUAAUGCUUUUCAAAAAUAAAAGAAAAAGGUUUAAGUUUGGUUAGUAAAGAAAUCUAAAAUUGUGGGUUAAUCUUAUGGGUAGUUUAGUGUUGGCUUGCAACUUUAUCAUGAAGAUAGGUUGUACAGUCACUUGUGGGCUUGGAAUUUUAUCACGAAGGAAAGUUGUAUAGUCAUGUGUUCAAAGUUUGCAUCUCUUAUUCCUGCAUGUACUAAAUCGUAGACACUGAAGCUUCAGAAGUGGAACUCUUGAAAUUAUCUGAAGAAUCUUCGGAGUUUGAGGAGGUUAUCGAGUUGAUCC
Molecule: long non-coding RNA, 4629 nt
Filed under: Setaria italica (foxtail millet)
Lineage: Eukaryota; Viridiplantae; Streptophyta; Magnoliopsida; Poales; Poaceae
Description: long non-coding RNA (SITA_LNC001643)
Source: RNAcentral